Molecule: transfer RNA, 71 nt
Filed under: Podarcis lilfordi (Lilford's wall lizard)
Lineage: Eukaryota; Metazoa; Chordata; Lepidosauria; Squamata; Lacertidae
Description: tRNA.Ala
Rfam family: tRNA
About the family: Transfer RNA (tRNA) molecules are approximately 80 nucleotides in length. Their secondary structure includes four short double-helical elements and three loops (D, anti-codon, and T loops).
Source: RNAcentral
GGGUUGUAGCUUAGUGGUUGAGUAUCUGCUUUGCAUGCAGAAGGUUCCAGGUUCAAUUCCCAAUGACACCG